RNAcentral lists this ribosomal RNA (117 nucleotides) under Danio rerio (zebrafish). Lineage: Eukaryota; Metazoa; Chordata; Actinopteri; Cypriniformes; Danionidae. The record is from RNAcentral.
AGAAACAGCCAUGUCACCCUGCAGCCCAAGACCGGUUACUCACUGAAGCUAAGCAGGGCUGAGCCUGGUCAGUACCUGGAUGGGAGACCACUAGGGAACACUAGGUUGCUGUUGGAA